This 2592-nucleotide long non-coding RNA is filed under the name Sus scrofa (pig). RNAcentral describes it as "lncRNA (ENSSSCG00055006747.1)". Lineage: Eukaryota; Metazoa; Chordata; Mammalia; Artiodactyla; Suidae. The record is from RNAcentral.
CAGGGCCCGGGGAGGAGCCAGGACCCCGGGCGGGAGAAAAGAGACUGAGGGGCGUGCGGCACAAAGAGCUUUUUAUUUAAAUUUGUUUAGAGUUUGGCGAAUUUGCAUGAAAAAUGUGUGAGAAAAGCCAGCUCCGGUGACCUCAUCCGCACCUGCCAUUAACGUUCAAUUAGCGGUUGAAUAGAGGCGCCGACGCGACGUGCAGAGAAUCCGGCGGGCCCCGCGGAGCCACGGCUGCGGGCCGGGCCCAGGGUGGGGUGGGAGUGGGGGGGCGGGGGCCGACUCCUGCGAGCCGGAGACGCUCGCCUCGUCCGCACCCCAACUCUCUGAGGGGACGUAGGAACCACAGAACCCUCGAGUCCAAGGCGGCAUGGGGCGCAGCAGGGCCCGGGGCACCUGGGGAUGCCAGGCUCCCUCCUGGCGCCGAGGAGGGCAGGCUUGCCCCCUCCCCAGGAUAGGAGGUGGAUGGAUGAGCCCCCGUCCUAGCUCAGAUGGGUUCCCUCGCCACCUUCCGGACAAAGUGUCAAGUACAAGUUCAAGUUCAGGGCCAGGCCCGGGGGGGGGGGGGGGGGGGGGGCGCCAAGCCUUCUCCCGCCGCCUUUGUUCUUGGAGAGAAUCACUCCUAAGUCUCCUCCGGGCGGGGCCCGGCCAACGCCCCCGCCCCGCCCCGUGGUGCCCAACUGGGGCCGCCUCCUCCCGCCCUCGCGGCGCCUGUCCCCUGGUCCCGGCGCCCCCGCUCAGGGCCACCGAAGGGUCUGGGGACUCGGGGAGGGGGGAGGCGCGAUCCGGGUCCGUGGGAGCCUCCCCAGCCCCGCAGUCCCAGCAGCAAACCGAGCGUUGUCGGACGGAUGCUCGCGCGGAGGGUGGCUGCCUGGAGCCAUCAGGGAUGUGGAAUUGCCUGCUUCUUCAUGCCAAAGAGAGAAGAUGAAGGAAAAGGCUCCAGCCAAUCAAUGAACAUGCACUCCUUACCAUGGCAAAUGGCACUGACUGGCUCAGACCAGCCAUUCCCAACCCCAUCAGCCCACCCCUCAAAUUACUAUCCUCAUAAAAUCUGUAAAAAAUAGAACCCACUUACACAUGUAAUUGCAAAAACAUUAACGCAAUGUAUAAAGGAAACAUCAAAGGAAAUGUACAGUAAAAUACAUUUAUUUCAAGAUAUAUGCUCAGUAUUUGUCAAGUUUUUUGUUUUGGGUUUUUUUGUUUGUUUGUUUGUUUUGCUUUUUGGGGCUGCACCCACAGCAUAUGAAAGUUCCCAGGCAAGGGGUUGAAUUGGAGCUGCAGCUGCCAGCCUACACCGCAGCCACAGCAACUCAGGAUCCCAGCCUCAUCUUUGACCUACACCACAGCUCAGGGCAAUGCCAGAUCCUUAACCCAUUAAGCAGGGCCAGGGAUCCUAGUCAGGUUCGUUAAAUGCUGAGCCACAACGGGAACUCCAAUUUGUCAAGUAUUUCUGAUUCUAGAGUAUUCUGGAGGACAUAAUGAAACAAUCAGAUGCCUUCACCUCCACAGACAAUUUUCACAGGAGUUCCUGCUGUGGCUCAGCAAUAAGGAACCCGACUAGUGUCCAUGAGGACACAGGUUCAAUCCCUGACCUCACUCAGUGGGUUAAGGAUCAAGUGUUACUGUGAGCUGCAGUGCAGGUCACAGACACAGCUCAGAUUUGGCAUUUCUGUGGCUGUGGCAUAGGCUGUAGCUGCAGCUCUGAUUCGACCCCUAGCCUGGGAAUUUCCAUAUGCGUUGAGUGUGGCCCUAAAAAGACAAAAAAGAAAAAAAAAAUUCCACAAAUAUGGCAGUGAUGCAGCAAAGGAAACCAUAAAAAAAAGAAAAAGACAACCUAUGGAAUGGGAGAAAAUAGUUUCAAAUGAUGCAGCUGACAAGGGCUUACUCUCUAAAAUAUACAAUCGACUUAUACAACUCAACAGCAAAAAAACCCAAAAACCCAAUUGAAAAAUGGGCAAAAGAGCUGAAUAGACAUUUCUCCAAAGAAGAUAUACAGAUGGCCAAAAAGCAUAUGAAAAAAUGCUCAACAUCCCUCAUUAUUAGAGAAAUGCAAAUCAGAACUACUGUGUGGUACCACCUCACACCAGUUAGAAUGGCCAUCAUUAAUAAGUCCACAAACAACCAAUGCUGGAGAGGGUGUGGAGAAAAGGGAAUGCUCCUGCACUGUUGGUGGGAAUGUAAAUUGGUAAACCCACUAGGCAGAGCAGUAUGGAGGUACCUCAGAAAACUAAAUAUAGAACUACCAUAUGACCCAGCAAUCCCAUCCUGGGGCAUAUAUCCAGGCAAAACUUCCCUUGAAAAAGAUAAAUGCACCCAUAUGUUCAUUGCAGCACUAUUCACAAUAGCCAAGACAUGGAAAUGUCCAUUGACAGAUGAAUAGAUUAAGAAUAUGUGGUAUAUAUACAUGAUGGACUACUACUCAGCCAUGAAAAAGGACAAAAUAAUGCCAUUUAUAGCAAUAUGGAUGGAAUUAGAGACUCUUUAUACUGAGUGAAGUUAGUCAGAAAGAGAAAGACAAAUACCAUGUGAUAUCACUUAUGUCUGGAAUCUAACAUACCGCACAAAUAAACCUUUCCACAGAAAAGAAACUCA